CAAGCAAUCUCAUUAAAGUAAACCAACAAUAUUAACCAGCGGAAGACUUAACCAAAAAUCCAAUAAAACAAUUCCAUUAAACCAACAAGUUCAACCAAACAUUAUUCCAAAACAUGAUCAUCCUAACAUGUUUCUAAAUUCCAUUCUAACACCCUAACAAAUCCAACAAUAAUCUAAAACACCUAUGAGCACCUAGAUCAUCCUCUUCUCCUCGCCAUGAUUCCACGGAUCACACUUUGCUUUUACCUGCAACAAAGAAAGAGAUGCAUAAGUAUUUCAUAAAUACUUAGUGAGGGCGAUCCUCCCAUCUACGAGCUAUACACUCAAGCAAUGAGAUAACACCCACAUAUAUAACAAAAACAAACCAUCUAGCAAGCUAAACAUCCAAUAACACAUCCAAUUCACCUACAAAUCAUCACAAAACAUGUCACUCGAUCCCAAUCGCUUAGAUAAGCUCAUGGUCACGCACUCACCUUAACAAGGUUAUUUGAAUUACAAAAAAAACCAGGAAAGACUCUCCUCGUGACUGCAACAGCCAAA
This 540-nucleotide long non-coding RNA is filed under the name Capsella grandiflora. Its description in RNAcentral is "long non-coding RNA (CGRA_LNC000392)". Lineage: Eukaryota; Viridiplantae; Streptophyta; Magnoliopsida; Brassicales; Brassicaceae. The record is from RNAcentral.